RNAcentral lists this long non-coding RNA (531 nucleotides) under Ananas comosus (pineapple). RNAcentral describes it as "long non-coding RNA (ACOM_LNC028561)". The record is from RNAcentral. Lineage: Eukaryota; Viridiplantae; Streptophyta; Magnoliopsida; Poales; Bromeliaceae.
CUAAAUUACAGAAGAUUCUCCGUCAAUAAUUUUUUUUUUUUUUGUUCUUUUCGGUCAUUCAAAAAUCUAUAUUUGUCCCUUUAAAAAAUAAAAAUAUUCGAUUUGACUCCCGCCGUCAAUGUUUUAUUAAGAUUCUGUUUAUAUUUUAUUUUUUAUAUUCAAAAUAUCCCUCAAACCCCCCUCCUUCCGCAUCCUCAGCCGUGCCGCCUCGCCCUCGUCCAUAUAUCUCUCCAUGCCGACACACACACCCUUGUCCGCCUCCACCGCCUCACCCUCGUCCACCUCGAGGAAGUUGAGAAAUAAUUUGGUCAUUUUGUCACAGCGUAUUUCUCUAUGAAUAUUUUUUAUUUUUUAAGAGGGUAAAGUGUAGAUUUUUGAAUGACAGAAAAAAAGUAAAAAAAAACUGAUAUUGAUAGGAAAGUUUUCUGUAAUUUAGCCUAAAUUCUAAUCUUUUUUAAUAAUUCAUCUUAUUUUUAUUUUGUUAUUCUGUUUGUGGGUAAAAAAAAUUAUAUUUAAUUAUUAUAAAAUUUA